Molecule: non-coding RNA, 342 nt
Organism: Osmia lignaria (orchard mason bee)
Lineage: Eukaryota; Metazoa; Arthropoda; Insecta; Hymenoptera; Megachilidae
Source: RefSeq, a predicted model, not a curated record
UAUGAUUCACUGUACCUACACGUACAUUAUCAUUUUUACGUAACCGUUUGUUUUUCAUUGUAUUCACGAGGGCGCUCACGGCGUUUCGCAAAGAAGGAAACACCGUGUUUCCGCGUUUCUCAUGCAAAUCACGGCCCACUAACGUUACCAAUAAGGAUAAAAUUCUGAUGCUCACUUCAGGACCCUUCCCUGAUCAGUUAAUAUAGUUCGGUUAUGUAAACCUCUUACCUGUCCAAGAUCAGUUUCCUCAAGUCGAUUAAAGGACGGAACCACGCGGUCCUAGCCACGUGAAUUUUAGUCCCAUGGAAUAUCAACCACUCGAGCCGAUUUAGACCGGCAAAC